UCAACCGGGCAGCUGUAUCCCCAGGUGAGGCAAUCCGCUUCAGUCCCUCGGCACAGCGUGGGAGACAGCCAGGGUCAGGGCUGCCGGUCGUCGGGGAGGCAAGUGCCACAGAGGCACGGAAGGCAAACGGGUAGCAAACAAAACGAAAGGAGCAGCAGCAAACAGACCUUUUUUUUAAGGGUUUUAAGCGUUUUGACGAGCGCCUUUGACCACUAGCAGCAGGUAAAAGCACCCCUAGAACCACUCCCGAGUUACUUCUGCAGAAAGGAAGACGCCGAUGCGCAGCAUCCCCGACCUGCGCUUACCACAGACAAAGCAAGCUGCGAAACGAGGCCAGGUGUGGUGCCUGUGAGAGACUGAGAGGCGCCGAGGCUUUGGUCUGCUCGCCCGCGGGUCGCCCACCGGAGCAGAAGAAUGCGAUGGAUAAGUGUUGCAGGUAUAGUUUGGACCCUCCGCCACAGAGAUACUGUGAGACUAUGGAGAAGAAAGAGAGAUCGAGGCCCAAAAGAGUUAGGCUGCAGCUGAGACGCCCGAGUGGAAGCAAUCUAAUGGAAUACUCCUGUUAAAGGCGGUAACCACAUACAUCCUCGAACUGAGCGACAACUAUUGCUGGUCUAAAACCUCUGCUUUUCGAAAGAAGGGUUUAAAUAGGACAGAUCUGGGCUGAAAGAAGAGCAGAAAAACGAACUAAAAAUAGGCAGCCGCUAUUAGCAGUUGCCAAAGAUGCCUUGGAACUGUAACACGAUUCAGGCCGGCCUGGGACAGGAUCCUUCCUGCAGACCAUGGUCCCCAGGUGCUGAGGUAAUAGCGAGGCACAGCUGCGCUGAGUUAAAGCCAUCAGGCGCUGCCGUGGGCACGCUGAUCGGCUGCAGAGCUCCUGACGCUUGGAGGACGCCCUCCGAGGAGCCACACGGCAGAGACCAACAGCCUGAAACCUGUAGCCGGUGAAGCAGAUCUCAGUCCAUCCCCCUGGGCAAGACUAACCCAGGCAUGUGGGUGCCAUGUCCACAACAGGAGAGCAUUUCUGCCGCCCACCUCUUGACCUCCUGCAGCUUAAACCUGUCAAGCCUGGGACUUCUUUGCCAAUCCAGAGACUUCUGUAGAGCUGCUUGGAGUCUGUAUAGCCCCAGCCCCAGUUUUGCCUCCAAACUCUUACUCCAUGGGGAGCAUUGCCUUUCUUCAGGCCAACUCCAGAACAAGAGACUGCAUCAUCUUUGCUGAGCAGCCUGGCGAGCCCUCCCUCACCUGCAAAACCCUGCCCAGACCACCAGGUACUCUUAGGAUGUCUCACUUCUUGUUUUUCAGAGAAUGCUGAAGCUGACCUCCAGAAGGUCUUUUUACACCAAACCAAGGAUGAAUAAUGAGAGGAGAAAUCCUAAAUCUUCUCUGCAAGGAAUAAAAAUGGUGUUUAGUCUAGAGGUACUUACAGCAGGCCAUGAAUCUCUCUCACCCACACCUGAAGGCAGAAAGUCUCAUACUCCUGCAAGAUGGAUAAGAAGGUGGAAAACAGGGAAGGGAAGCAGACUUUGCUUAAGCCAUUAAGCCUCUCCAGAAAGCAGUCUGGGCUACAUGGAGACAUUAGCUGUCAUUUCAUAUGAAAAUAGUAUGCACUCAGCAGCUUCACAAUACUCCAGCAGGUUGCAGUGAUUUACAUGAAAAGAAGACAAAACAGGGGACCAGAGAGUGAGCAAGAGAUGUGGUAGGUCCCUCCUCAGAGAGUGUGAAGGAGCUCGAUGGCUUCUGAGACUGAGGGAAGGAAAAGAAAGGGCAAGAUGCACACCUUGGGGCACUCUGUGGGCACAGAGAUUUCUUUUGCCCCGAGUGGGACACAAGGGAAAGGGGGUGGUGGGGAUGAGCCAUGGAAUCACAGAAGGGUUUUGUUUGGAAGAGAUCUUUAAGGUCAUCAUGUCUGACUGUUAAUCCAGCACUGCCAGCUCACCACUCAGCCAUUUCCCUCAGCACCACAUCUAUAUGGCUUUUAAACCUCUCCAGGGAUGGGGACUUCACCACUUCCCUGGGCAGCCUGUUCCAGGGCUUGAAAA
This is a long non-coding RNA of Pogoniulus pusillus (Red-fronted tinkerbird), 2042 nucleotides long. RefSeq lists it as uncharacterized. The record is from RefSeq and is a predicted model, not a curated record. The transcript has 2 exons. Lineage: Eukaryota; Metazoa; Chordata; Aves; Piciformes; Lybiidae.